GCCUGGCUGGCUCAGUCCAUGUAGCAGGAGACUCUUGAUCUCGGGGGUGUGGGUUCAAGCCCCAUGCUGGGUG
Molecule: transfer RNA, 73 nt
Filed under: Ailuropoda melanoleuca (giant panda)
Lineage: Eukaryota; Metazoa; Chordata; Mammalia; Carnivora; Ursidae
Rfam family: tRNA
About the family: Transfer RNA (tRNA) molecules are approximately 80 nucleotides in length.
Source: Rfam by way of RNAcentral